This 465-nucleotide ribosomal RNA is filed under the name Vreelandella stevensii. Its description in RNAcentral is "partial 16S ribosomal RNA". It matches the Rfam family "Bacterial small subunit ribosomal RNA", at positions 338 to 795 of the family's 1533-position model. The record is from RNAcentral. Lineage: Bacteria; Pseudomonadati; Pseudomonadota; Gammaproteobacteria; Oceanospirillales; Halomonadaceae.
CCUACGGGGGGCAGCAGUGGGGAAUAUUGGACAAUGGGCGAAAGCCUGAUCCAGCCAUGCCGCGUGUGUGAAGAAGGCCUUCGGGUUGUAAAGCACUUUCAGUGGGGAAGAAAGCCUUGGGGCUAAUACCCUCGAGGAAGGACAUCACCCACAGAAGAAGCACCGGCUAACUCCGUGCCAGCAGCCGCGGUAAUACGGAGGGUGCGAGCGUUAAUCGGAAUUACUGGGCGUAAAGCGCGCGUAGGCGGUCUGAUAAGCCGGUUGUGAAAGCCCCGGGCUCAACCUGGGAACGGCAUCUGGAACUGUCAGGCUAGAGUGCAGGAGAGGAAGGUAGAAUUCCCGGUGUAGCGGUGAAAUGCGUAGAGAUCGGGAGGAAUACCAGUGGCGAAGGCGGCCUUCUGGACUGACACUGACGCUGAGGUGCGAAAGCGUGGGUAGCAAACAGGAUUAGAUACCCGAGUAGUC